RNAcentral lists this ribosomal RNA (373 nucleotides) under uncultured bacterium. Its description in RNAcentral is "bacterial SSU rRNA". It matches the Rfam family "Bacterial small subunit ribosomal RNA", at positions 523 to 898 of the family's 1533-position model. The record is from RNAcentral.
AUACGGAAGGUCCGGGCGUUAUCCGGAUUUAUUGGGUUUAAAGGGAGCGUAGGCCGGAGAUUAAGCGUGUUGUGAAAUGUAGAUGCUCAACAUCUGCACUGCAGCGCGAACUGGUUUCCUUGAGUACGCACAAAGUGGGCGGAAUUCGUGGUGUAGCGGUGAAAUGCUUAGAUAUCACGAAGAACUCCGAUUGCGAAGGCAGCUCACUGGAGCGCAACUGACGCUGAAGCUCGAAAGUGCGGGUAUCGAACAGGAUUAGAUACCCUGGUAGUCCGCACGGUAAACGAUGGAUGCCCGCUGUUGGUCUGAAUAGGUCAGCGGCCAAGCGAAAGCAUUAAGCAUCCCACCUGGGGAGUACGCCGGCAACGGUGAA